RNAcentral lists this long non-coding RNA (6206 nucleotides) under Gossypium barbadense (sea-island cotton). RNAcentral's name for it is "long non-coding RNA (GBAR_LNC015411)". The record is from RNAcentral. Lineage: Eukaryota; Viridiplantae; Streptophyta; Magnoliopsida; Malvales; Malvaceae.
GAAUAAAGUAUUAAAGUUCAAAACAAAACCACAACAGUGCUGGGCUGAUCUAAAAAUAAAACAUGGGAUACUUAAAGGGUUUGAGAAGCCCGCAAAAACAAAAAUAGAAAAUGAAGCCUAAAUGAAUGCAGAAAUAGAAUCGUCAUUUCCCAGUCAAAUCAAACAGUCUGGCCUCCAUUAUUUUCCAACUUUUCAUUUCAUAAACGCUAGGCUUUUCAGAUGAUAGCAAUUUCAAAGAAAUCUUAUGCUUUAGCUAUCUUUUUCCGUUUCAUUUCCUCUUCAUCAACUUCCUUCAAUCAGAAUUUUGUGGCCAUCUCCCUCUUAGAUCCGGUGUUCUUCUCUCGUCUCUCCCACCAGGUAUCUUUCUUCCCCUUUUCUUAAUGCCUCUUUCGUUAGGUAUGUGCUUCAACGUUCUCUGUUCUUUGGAUGAAUCGAAAAACAUUUUUUUUGGAAUCGGGUUUUGUUGCUCUGAAUAUCAUCAAUAAUUGCUCCUAGAAUCGAUUUAUCUCUAGCUUUUGUUUUGCAUUUGUUGAUUAUUGUUUUCGAAUCCCCCAUCAUCGUGACUGAGUUUAAGCCCAUGCUUAUGCCUAAUUUGGUUGCCUCUAAACAUGCUAAUGCUUCUGCUACAAAUGGAGAGGAAACGUUGGAGUGAAGAGUAGACUUUGAGACUGUGAUUUCCCCAUUCUGACCUCGGGCUACCAUUCCUGACGCUGAUCUAGAGUUGUUGAUAUCAAAAGCUGCAUCAAACUGUAUAGACUCCCGUAGCUCCACCUCUCUUUGUUCGGAUCUAACGGCCGUAGAGGUAAGUUUUCUUUCUCGCACUCCUUCAAGCUCUAUUAGAUAACUCUGUAUUUUAAAAGCUAGAUCCCUUCCUGAUGUAUACUUCCUCUUGUGGAUCAUUUGAUUUCUCGAGCUCCAGAUAACCCAUAAGGCACAAAAAAAUACUCAGAUCUACUCCUUUGUACCUCUGCUGAAUACCCAGGUGAGCCAUGCCCAUACACUCUGAUCUGCAUGUUCUGUUACCCAUGACAUAUUGAGACUGAUCUAUGCAUCCGUGCUUAUAGGACAUUGCCUAAACACAUGGAAGCUAUCUUCUUCUGCAGAACAGUAUCGUGGACACCUUACAUUAGUGGUCACUCUCUUAUAUCUGAUAUUAACUAGUGAAGGGAUGUAGUUCCAGGAAAUUCGCCAUAUGAGAAUUAGGAUUUUUGUUAGUAAUUGUAAAUUCCAUAAUUUUCUGUAGAAAUCUUUAGUUUCGACCUGUAUUAAAUAGUUAUAAUGAUCCAAGCUAGCUUCUUAUAAUAGUUUGUAGGCACUUCUAACUGUAAAUUCUCCGGAGAGUUCCCCUUUCCACACUUUCAUGUCUUCACAAUCCGUUUUCGCAAGAGGAAUUUGCAGUAUUUUUUGAGAAAUUUCCUUUUGAAAGGUAGUCGAAAUUAACUUUCUUCCACUUCUUGUUUAUGUUAUCAAUAAGAUCAGAAACCACAGCUAACUAACCAUUGUCUCUUUUAUUUUGCCACAUCUCAAGUUCCAUCCCUAGUAUCCAACGAUCAUCCCAUAUAGAUAUUGCGUCUCCUCUCUCGACUCUCCAGAUGAGACCAUCAAGAAGGAGUCCUUUCACUGCCCAAAUACUUCUCUAGGUAAGAGAUGGUAAGUUUCCCAACUGUGAAUUUAGGAAACUGGAUCUUGGGUAAUAUUUAGCUUUAAGUACUCUGGCUAAAAGUGAAUUUGGGUUAUUAAACAAUCGCCAACCCUGCUUGGCUAACAAUGCGAUAUUAAACUUAUUAAAAUUACGAAAACCCAACCCGUCGUUUUCCUUUAAAUAGCAAAGGUUUUUCCAAGAGCACCAAUAGAUUCCCUUUUUUCCUUGAUUCUUUUGCCACCAAUAUCUCGCAACAAUACUCUCCAUUUCUUCACAUAGUGACUUCGGAAGUAGAAAACAAACCAUUGAGUAUGUCGGUAUGGCUUGUAGCACUGCCUUUAUGAAUAUCUCUUUUCCACCUUGCGAUAAAAAACGAGUACUCCAAUUUUCUAUCUGUUGUUCCAAUCUGUCUUUUAAGGCUUGAAAAGAUUGCUUCUUUUUUCGACCUACCAUGUUUGGCAAGCCCAAGUAUCUUUCUGGCUCAUUUGAACUUCGAACUCCCAAUAAAUUGACGAUUAGAUGUCUUUCCUCUUCAAUUAUAUUUUUGCUAAAGAAGACGGUCGAUUUGGAAAAAUUCACACAUUGACCCGAACAUCUUUUAUACCCGCUAAGAAUUUCCUUGAGUACAAAGGCUCCUUUCCUCGAUGCUUCUCCAAAUAAAAUGCAAUCAUCCGUAAAUAGUAAAUGUGUUACCUGUGGACCACUUCUGGUUGCCUUGACUCCCUUUAGAAGACCUUCUCUAGCGUUUAUUCUCAUUAGACUAGAUAGUCCUUCUCCACAUAUUAAGAAGAGAAACGGGCUCAAAGGAUCGCCUUGUCGAAGCCCUCUUGUUGGACGGAAAGUUCUUCCAACACUUACAUUGAGCACUACUUGAUAAGAAACUGUAGACAUGAAAUUCAUGAUAGAGGUGACCCAUUUUUGAUCAAAUCCCAUCCGCAGCAUUGUUUCCUUAAUAAAUCUCCAUUCAACUCUGUCAUAAGCUUUGCUUAUGUCAAGCUUAACCGCCAUGUAUCCCUUUUUCCCCAUUCUUUUUUGUUUAAGUGUGUGCAAUAACUCAUAAGCGAGCAAAAUAUUAUCUGAGAUUAAUUUACCUGGUACGAAGGCACUUUGCGCACUGUCAAUGCAUUUGUCUAUGACACCUCUAAAUCUGUUUGCUAUUGCUUUAGUCAUGAUUUUAUAAAUAACAUUGCAUAAGCUAAUAGGCCUAAAAUGGGUCAUAUUAGAGGGGUUUUUGAUUUUUGGGAUAAGAACAAUAUAAGUUGAGUUAAUUUGACUGACCUCCAUUUCUCCAUUGAUGAGGUGUAGGCAAAAAGCAGCCACCUCAUCUCCUAUAAAGUGCUAACAUUUCUGGUAAAAAAGAGCAGGGAAUCCAUCUUUGCGAGGUGCCUUCGUGGGAUGCAUUUCAAAUAAGGCCUCUCUCACUUCUUCUUUUGUAUAAUUCGCUAUAAGUUUCCUGUUAUCGUCCUCUGAGAUACACCGAUCAAUUCCCGAGAGUAGACGUUCAUAAUUCAUUUGAUUUUCUAAAGAGAACAGAUUUUGAAAAUAGAAUUGUACAAUACCUUUCAUCUCCUGAAUAUCAUUCGUUUCCUGCCCGCUGCUGUUUUGUAGCUUGCUUAUCAAAUUCUUCUUUCUUCUUUGUGUUACUUGACUGUGAAAAAAGGCUGUAUUCCUGUUUCCAAGUUUUAGCCAAUUUAGUCUAGCUCGGUGUUCCCAAUAAGUUUAAUCUUUUUCAAUUUCGAAGUUAAGCUGGAUCUUUGUGUCAAUCAUCUCAGCUAGAUUAGAAUUAUCCCUUUCAGCUUCAAUCAAUGUUGAUAGUUUGGCUGUGAGAAAUUCUUUUCUCCCCUGUUUAUUUCUUUGCACCUGUUUCGCCCAGUUUACAAACCCUUUCUUAAAAGUUUCCAUUUUCUUCAGAAAUUCUCCAGACACCAUCCCCCAUAAAUGUUUAGCUUCAUCGAAAAAUGAGUCUUCCACGAUCCAUGAGGCUUCAAAUUUGAAUUGAUUUGCUUUUUCCCAUUGGUCUUCCUUAUUUGUGUUGACGAAAAUAGGACAAUAAUCAAAAAAAGAGUGUACAAGUGUUCAACUCAUACCGCAGGAAACAUGGAAAUCCAAUUCUUAUUAGCGACACCCCUAUCCAGACGCUCUUGAAUGUUCGUUUCUGGUAAGUUUCCUCUCUCCUAAGUGAACCAUCUACCAGAGUAUCCCACAUUGGAUAGUUGGCAAAAAUCUAAAGCUUCUCGGAACAACUCCAUUCUUCUUUCAUCUCUUGGCAAGCCUCUCUUUUUUUUUUCGAAUUCAUACAUUAUUUCAUUAAAAUCUCCACAGACAAGCCAAGGGGUGUAUUCCUUUUUAUGGAGAUUUUUCAAAACAGUCCAUAAAGCUUCUCUAUCUUGCGCAUAUGGAGUUCUAUAAAAGCCAGUAAAGCGCCAUUUGACAUCUCUUUCAUCAUCAUCCACCACCAUGUCAAUGUGUCUUUUAGAGAAAUUCUAAAGCGUAACAUUGAUAUUAUUUUGCCAUGCUAGACACAAACCUUCUCUAGAGCCCUUCGAAUCAACAUCAAUUCCAUUCCCAAAUCCACAUCUUCGUCUAAUUCUUUCCAUUCGGUUUCUGCAAAGCUUAGUAUCCAUAAAGAAGACAAUUUGGGGAUUAUAAGUCCUCAGCGUAUGCUGAAGCCUUCGAACUAUCCGUAGACUCCCCAAUCCACGGACAUUCUAACUCAGUAUUUUUAUUGCUUCCGGUCGGCUUGCCAUUUGGUAGCCGCCGAUGAUAAAUGAUUAGGAUCCACCAUUCUCCAAUUUGCCAAUAUGUUUCUCAUUUCUUCUCUCCCUGUUAUAUCUUCAUUUUCCCCUCUAGGCCUUUUCGUCCCCUUUUUCCCUACUAGAGCUACAUCUUCUAGAUCCCUGAUCCAUUACAUUAGGGGUUAAAUUCUCCUUUCCUCGUACCGCGUAUAAUGAACCUCCCUCCAAAUUAAAGCCAAGAACUGGAUCAACAGAUUUCCCAUAUUUUAUUUUUCACCCCGGGUGCUUCUGGCCCAUUUUGAGACCUCCAAAUUCUGCAUCAGUUCCUCUGUUAUCGCCAUCUCCUUCCUCCCUUAGCUAGAUAUUGUUUAUUGAUAAUGACUUCCGUGAUUGUGCUCGGAUAGAUAAGUCCUAGCCCAUUUCUGCAAUUUCCAUUCCAAGGUUCAUUUUUGCCUCGCAAAAAAAGUCAUUAUGCUCCAGUCUUCCACAAUAGAAACAGAACAAAGAUAAACGUUCAUAUUUAAAGGUGACAUAUGAACAUUUUCCACCAAAUGAUAUUUUCUUCCUCCUUUUCAAAGGACGCCUUAUGUCGAUUUGAACUCUAAUUCUCAUAAAGUUCUUGUUUUCUUUUCCCAAAUAUGAUACAUCAUGUUCUAUGAAAUUCCCCAAGAAAUUACCUAACUGGGCAGCCAGGAUUUCAGAAAAAAGGCCAAUAGGGACAUCAUGAACCUAAACCCAAAAAGGUAUCAGAACUAGAGGGAGUUGUAGUGGAUCCUCCCCUAAUUCCAAUUUGUAAAGCACCAGCAGAUGGUUAUUAAUGGUCCAAGGCGAACAUUUCAAAACCCUGUUCAUAUCCAUGACAUGAAAGAACUGAAACAAAUACCUUUUUUCUCCCAGAUCACAGAUUCGUACUCCCUUAACCGGAUGCUACAGAUUCGCCAUUGUACUUUUCAUUGCUGGGAAGUGGAUCGUGCUUGCUGUGAGAAAACAUCCUACUAGUUGAGUGGUCUCACCCCUAUUUUCCGUGCUUGGAUCUGUUGGGAUGUGAAUAAUUUCCUCAUCUUCAUCAUUAAUCGACAAUUGGGCUAACUCAUUCUCCAUACUUUGCAGGUAAAAGUUUUUUCAGCUUUUGUGGUUUCACAAUUCCUGUUGCAAGAGAAGGACUUACACAGGCCACAGAUAACAAAGGGGAAAGUAUUAAGGAAAAAACAAAUAAUGAAAAAACUUAAAAACUCUUGCUAGUGGCAGCAGACAAAGGUGUGCUAGGGUAGCAGACUUUUUUUACUUGUGAAUUUGAUAAUGUUUUAUAUUUCAUAUAAUGUUUUUAUAAUUUUUUUAACUUAUAUAACUAAUAUAUAAUAUGUUUUGAAAAUUUUAAAUUUAAUAAUUUUUAUAAUUUUUUAUUUAUUGAAUUUAUAUUUUUUAAAAUGGAUGCCACAUUAUUAAUCGUCAUGUAUAAAGGAAUACCACAUAAUGCAUUCUCAUUGGUUGGGUGUGUCACCUAUCAUUUUUAACACCAUUAACCUCUUUGAACUAAGAUUGUGUUUAGCAAUGCUUAAAAAAAACACUUUUGGCUUAAAAAGUACUUUUGGAAGAAAAUUUAUGUUAAACAAGUAACUUUUGGCCCAAAGGAGUGGCUUUUCAAAAACAUUUUUACUCAAAAGCUAAAUUUUUUAGCUUUUCUUGAGCCAAAAGCACUUCUUGAAACAUUAUUACUUUUUCAUCUCUCUAUUUUUCUUCCCUUAUUUUUCAUUCACUUUAAAUUACAAAUGCUAAUGUAAAUGUUUUAAUGUUUAUAUUUGGUAUAUAAAUAUUAUCCAUUUUUGAAA